CCUGGCAAAAGCUUGUCAAAUUUUACUUUUCACUCCCUGUAGAUUAAUUAAUACAAUUAUCUCUAGAUAAAGCUAUGUAAUCAUUUAGUUAAAUAGUUCCGUUCACACUAACGAAUCAAACGAAAAAUCAGAUACUGAUUAAUAACUGAAUGUUACCCAUAUCAUAAUAUCCUGCUGUUCUCUAACGUUAAUAGCACUCUGUAAUUU
This 207-nucleotide long non-coding RNA is filed under the name Mytilus galloprovincialis (Mediterranean mussel). Lineage: Eukaryota; Metazoa; Mollusca; Bivalvia; Mytilida; Mytilidae. The record is from RNAcentral.